AGCGACAGGCCUAACACAUGCAAGUCGAGGGGCAGCACAAGGAGCAAUCUGAGGUGGCGACCGGCGCACGGGUGAGUAACACGUAUGCAACCUGCCUGUAAGCGGGGAAUAACCCGUUGAAAGACGGACUAAUACCGCAUAAUACUAAAUUACUGCAUGGUAAUUUAUUUAAACAUUUAUGGCUUACAGAUGGGCAUGCGCAUGAUUAGCUAGUUGGAGAGGUAACGGCUCCCCAAGGCAACGAUCAUUAGGGGUUCUGAGAGGAAGGUCCCCCACACUGGUACUGAGACACGGACCAGACUCCUACGGGAGGCAGCAGUGAGGAAUAUUGGUCAAUGGACGAGAGUCUGAACCAGCCAAGUCGCGUGCAGGAAGAAUGUUCCCUAUGGAUUGUAAACUGUCUUUUGCGAGGGGAAAUAAAGUGCAUCACGUGUGAUGUUUUGUAUGUACUCUGCGAAUAAGGAUCGGCUAACUCCGUGCCAGCCGCCGC
RNAcentral lists this ribosomal RNA (490 nucleotides) under uncultured bacterium. RNAcentral's name for it is "bacterial SSU rRNA". It matches the Rfam family "Bacterial small subunit ribosomal RNA", at positions 39 to 518 of the family's 1533-position model. The record is from RNAcentral.